RNAcentral lists this ribosomal RNA (253 nucleotides) under uncultured bacterium. Its description in RNAcentral is "partial 16S ribosomal RNA". It matches the Rfam family "Bacterial small subunit ribosomal RNA", at positions 524 to 776 of the family's 1533-position model. The record is from RNAcentral.
UACGUAGGGCGCAAGCGUUGUCCGGAAUUAUUGGGCGUAAAGAGCUCGUAGGCGGCUUGUCGCGUCGGAUGUGAAAGCCCGGGGCUUAACCCCGGGUCUGCAUUCGAUACGGGCAGGCUAGAGUUCGGUAGGGGAGAUCGGAAUUCCUGGUGUAGCGGUGAAAUGCGCAGAUAUCAGGAGGAACACCGGUGGCGAAGGCGGAUCUCUGGGCCGACACUGACGCUGAGGAGCGAAAGCGUGGGGAGCGAACAGG